Molecule: non-coding RNA, 116 nt
Organism: Pteropus alecto (black flying fox)
Lineage: Eukaryota; Metazoa; Chordata; Mammalia; Chiroptera; Pteropodidae
Source: Rfam
GUCUACAGCCAUGGCACCCUGAACAAGCCGGAUGUCUGAUCUCAGAACCUAAGCAGGGUCAGGCCUGAUUAAUACUUGGAUAGUAGACCACCCAGGAAGACCAGGUGCUGUAGGCA